GAUGAACGCUGGCGGCAGGCCUAAUACAUGCAAGUCGAGCGGCAGCACGAUAAGAUUUCUCCUCUAACGUUGGCGACGGGCGGAUGGGUGAGACAUGCAUAACCUACCUAUAAUACUGGGAGAACUUCGGGGAACAGGAGCUAAUAACGGCUAAUAUAUUGAACGGCAUGGUUCAAUAGUGAAAGACAGUUUUGCUGUCACUUAUAGAUGGAUCCGCGCCGCAUUAGCUAGUUGGUAAGGUAACGGCUUACCAAGGCAACGAUGCGUAGCCGACCUGAGAGGGUGAUCGGCCACACUGGAACUGAGACACGGUCCAGACUCCUACGGGAGGCAGCAGUAGGGAAUAUUCGGCAAUGGGCGAAAGCCUGAUCGAGCAACACCGCGUGAGUGAAGAAGGUCUUCGGAUCGUAAAACUCUGUUAUUAGGGAAGAAAAACAGCGUAAGAAACCACGGAUGUCUUGACGGUACCUAAUGAGUAAGCAACGGCUAACUUCGUG
RNAcentral lists this ribosomal RNA (497 nucleotides) under uncultured bacterium. Its description in RNAcentral is "partial 16S ribosomal RNA". It matches the Rfam family "Bacterial small subunit ribosomal RNA", at positions 28 to 507 of the family's 1533-position model. The record is from RNAcentral.